GCUGGCGGCGUGCCUAAUACAUGCAAGUCGAGCGAGCAGAACCAGCAGAUUUACUUCGGUAAUGACACUGGGGACGCGAGCGGCGGAUGGGUGAGUAACACGUGGGGAACCUGCCCCAUAGUCUAGGAUACCACUUGGAAACAGGUGCUAAUACCGGAUAAUAAAGCAGAUCGCAUGAUCAGCUUAUAAAAGGCGGCGUAAGCUGUCGCUAUGGGAUGGCCCCGCGGUGCAUUAGCUAGUUGGUAAGGUAACGGCUUACCAAGGCAAUGAUGCAUAGCCGAGUUGAGAGACUGAACGGCCACAUUGGGACUGAGACACGGCCCAAACUCCUACGGGAGGCAGCAGUAGGGAAUCUUCCACAAUGGACGCAAGUCUGAUGGAGCAACGCCGCGUGAGUGAAGAAGGUUUUCGGAUCGUAAAGCUCUGUUGUUGGUGAAGAAGGAUAGAGGUAGUAACUGGCCUUUAUUUGACGGUAAUCAACCAGAAAGUCACGGCUAACUACGUGCCAGCAGCCGCGGUAAUACGUAGGUGGCAAGCGUUGUCCGGAUUUAUUGGGCGUAAAGCGAGCGCAGGCGGAAGAAUAAGUCUGAUGUGAAAGCCCUCGGCUUAACCGAGGAAUUGCAUCGGAAACUGUUUUUCUUGAGUGCAGAAGAGGAGAGUGGAACUCCAUGUGUAGCGGUGGAAUGCGUAGAUAUAUGGAAGAACACCAGUGGCGAAGGCGGCUCUCUGGUCUGCAACUGACGCUGAGGCUCGAAAGCAUGGGUAGCGAACAGGAUUAGAUACCCUGGUAGUCCAUGCCGUAAACGAUGAGUGCUAAGUGUUGGGAGGUUUCCGCCUCUCAGUGCUGCAGCUAACGCAUUAAGCACUCCGCCUGGGGAGUACGACCGCAAGGUUGAAACUCAAAGGAAUUGACGGGGGCCCGCACAAGCGGUGGAGCAUGUGGUUUAAUUCGAAGCAACGCGAAGAACCUUACCAGGUCUUGACAUCUAGUGCCAUCCUAAGAGAUUAGGAGUUCCCUUCGGGGACGCUAAGACAGGUGGUGCAUGGCUGUCGUCAGCUCGUGUCGUGAGAUGUUGGGUUAAGUCCCGCAACGAGCGCAACCCUUAUUAUUAGUUGCCAGCAUUAAGUUGGGCACUCUAAUGAGACUGCCGGUGACAAACCGGAGGAAGGUGGGGAUGACGUCAAGUCAUCAUGCCCCUUAUGACCUGGGCUACACACGUGCUACAAUGGGCAGUACAACGAGAAGCGAGCCUGCGAAGGCAAGCGAAUCUCUGAAAGCUGUUCUCAGUUCGGACUGCAGUCUGCAACUCGACUGCACGAAGCUGGAAUCGCUAGUAAUCGCGGAUCAGAACGCCGCGGUGAAUACGUUCCCGGGCCUUGUACACACCGCCCGUCACACCAUGGAAGUCUGCAAUGCCCAAAGCCGGUGGCCUAACCUUCGGGAAGGAGCCGUCUAAGGCAGGGCAGAUGAC
RNAcentral lists this ribosomal RNA (1472 nucleotides) under Lactobacillus helveticus. RNAcentral describes it as "bacterial SSU rRNA". It matches the Rfam family "Bacterial small subunit ribosomal RNA". The record is from RNAcentral. Lineage: Bacteria; Bacillati; Bacillota; Bacilli; Lactobacillales; Lactobacillaceae.